Molecule: ribosomal RNA, 253 nt
Filed under: uncultured bacterium
Lineage: Bacteria
Description: partial 16S ribosomal RNA
Rfam family: Bacterial small subunit ribosomal RNA
Source: RNAcentral
UACGUAGGGGGCGAGCGUUGUCCGGAAUUAUUGGGCGUAAAGGGCGCGUAGACGGCUAAGUAAGUUAUAGGUGAAAGCCCAUCUUUCAAGGAUGGAAUUGCCUGUAAUACUGCAUAGCUUGAGUGCAGGAGAGGGAAGCGGAAUUCCUAGUGUAGCGGUGAAAUGCGUAGAUAUUAGGAGGAACACCAGUGGCGAAGGCGGCUUUCUGGACUGUAACUGACGUUGAGGCGCGAAAGCGUGGGGAGCAAACAGG